Long non-coding RNA from Quercus robur (English oak), 557 nucleotides. RefSeq lists it as uncharacterized. Lineage: Eukaryota; Viridiplantae; Streptophyta; Magnoliopsida; Fagales; Fagaceae. The record is from RefSeq and is a predicted model, not a curated record. The transcript has 2 exons.
CAAUACAAAUUUGCACACCCUAUCCGUGUCCAUGAACCUAAUCCUUUUUUAAGCCCAGCUUAAACUCCGGAAAAAUAAAGAAGUCCAACAGAAAAUUUUGGCCUUUAAUCUCAAAAAUAAAAAGCCCAUAAAUCAAUUUUUGAAAAAUCAUAAAUAAAAAAAGGGCCAAAUAAAACCUAAGAAUUUGCAGCUGUUUAGCCUCUAAAAUCUCUCACUAUCCUUCUUCACUCUCCAAACCCAAAGGAAAAAGGCUGCCUUUGCUUCACACACACAAAAUCUGCCGCUAUGUAGCCUUCACGAUCUGCCAUCGUAGCCGCCGCUUGAUCUACCGCGCUUGAUCUGAGAAAGAUGCUGAACGUGAUAUGUGAUGGUUGCUAGCUAUGUGAGUGGGUCAAUACAUUAUCACUAAAGGAAAAUAAAAAUAUAAAACAUUCAAAGAAUUGUAAACUUAUUAAUUAAAGAAUUGCAAAAAAAUCACUUAACAACAACAAUUAAUAUGUUAUAGUGUAUUAGAAAAAAAUAUGUCAAAUAAACUUAUAUAGUUUGUUUUUUAUUUU